RNAcentral lists this transfer RNA (70 nucleotides) under Xenicus longipes (Bush wren). RNAcentral's name for it is "tRNA-Lys". The record is from RNAcentral. Lineage: Eukaryota; Metazoa; Chordata; Aves; Passeriformes; Acanthisittidae.
CACUGAGAAGCUAUGUACCAGCGCUAGCCUUUUAAGCUGGAGAAAGAGGACCGCCCCCCCUCCUUAGUGA